CCUACGGGAGGCAGCAGUGAGGAAUAUUGGUCAAUGGGCGCGAGCCUGAACCAGCCAAGUAGCGUGAAGGAUGACUGCCCUACGGGUUGUAAACUUCUUUUAUGAAGGAAUAAAGUUAUGCACGUGUGCCUGUUUGUAUGUACUUUAUGAAUAAGGACCGGCUAAUUCCGUGCCAGCAGCCGCGGUAAUACGGAGGGUCCGAGCGUUAUCCGGAUUUAUUGGGUUUAAAGGGAGCGUAGAUGGGUCGUUAAGUGAGUUGUGAAAUUUUGCGGCUCAACCGUAAAAUUGCAGUUGAUACUGGCAGUCUUGAGUGCAGGUGAGGUAGGCGGAAUUCGUGGUGUAGCGGUGAAAUGCUUAGAUAUCACGAAGAACUCCGAUUGCGAAGGCAGCUUGCUACACUGUCACUGACGUUGAUGCUCGAAAGUGUGGGUAUCAAACAGGAUUAGAUACCCUUGUAGUC
Molecule: ribosomal RNA, 460 nt
Filed under: uncultured bacterium
Lineage: Bacteria
Description: partial 16S ribosomal RNA
Rfam family: Bacterial small subunit ribosomal RNA
Source: RNAcentral